CACAUGCAUUUUGCUGUUUGCCAACUUGCUCCUUCUGCCGCUUCUCCUCUCCUCUCCUCUUCCCCACUCUCUCUCGGUUCUUCGUGUCUCCCUCACGCAAUCUACGUACGCUUGCAGCUGUGCGCACGCGCGUCUCUUCACGAGGGCAGUGGGCGACAGAGGGAUGGUCGGCUGGGGCAGAGAGGGAGAUUGAAGGGAGCAGCUGAAAGAAGGGGGGACGCAAAAUGUGCACGCCCAUGUACUCCAGCACAGCAACGACAAUCUUCACACAUGCGCUUGCAGACGAACUCGCAGUUUUCUCACAAGCGACCCUCUCCCUCUUGAUAAUCUG
RNAcentral lists this unclassified non-coding RNA (331 nucleotides) under Leishmania donovani. Its description in RNAcentral is "gene:unknown". Lineage: Eukaryota; Euglenozoa; Kinetoplastea; Trypanosomatida; Trypanosomatidae. The record is from RNAcentral.